This 253-nucleotide ribosomal RNA is filed under the name uncultured bacterium. RNAcentral describes it as "partial 16S ribosomal RNA". It matches the Rfam family "Bacterial small subunit ribosomal RNA", at positions 524 to 776 of the family's 1533-position model. The record is from RNAcentral. RNAcentral also lists the same sequence under 1 other name.
UACGAACUGUGCAAACGUUAUUCGGAAUCACUGGGCUUAAAGGGUGCGUAGGCGGUCAUGUAAGUAGGGUGUGAAAGCCCCCGGCUCAACCGGGGAAUGGCGCUCUAAACUGUGUGACUGGAGUGAGAUAGGGGUGUGCGGAACUUCCGGUGGAGCGGUGAAAUGUGUUGAUAUCGGAAGGAACGCCGGUGGCGAAAGCGGCACACUGGAUCUCAACUGACGCUGAGGCACGAAAGCCAGGGGAGCAAACGGG